RNAcentral lists this ribosomal RNA (492 nucleotides) under uncultured bacterium. RNAcentral describes it as "partial 16S ribosomal RNA". It matches the Rfam family "Bacterial small subunit ribosomal RNA", at positions 29 to 507 of the family's 1533-position model. The record is from RNAcentral.
AGUGAACGCUGGCGGUAGGCCUAACACAUGCAAGUCGAACGGCAGCACAGUAAGAGCUUGCUCUUACGGGUGGCGAGUGGCGAACGGGUGAGGAAUACAUCGGAAUCUACUUUUUCGUGGGGGAUAACGUAGGGAAACUUACGCUAAUACCGCAUACGACCUACGGGUGAAAGCAGGGGAUCUUCGGACCUUGCGCGAUUGAAUGAGCCGAUGUCGGAUUAGCUAGUUGGCGGGGUAAAGGCCCACCAAGGCGACGAUCCGUAGCUGGUCUAAGAGGAUGAUCAGCCACACUGGAACUGAGACACGGUCCAGACUCCUACGGGAGGCAGCAGUGGGGAAUAUUGGACAAUGGGCGCAAGCCUGAUCCAGCCAUACCGCGUGGGUGAAGAAGGCCUUCGGGUUGUAAAGCCCUUUUGUUGGGAAAGAAAAGCAGCAGGUUAAUACCCCGCUGUUCUGACGGUACCCAAAGAAUAAGCACCGGCUAACUUCGUG